UGAAACUAUAAAUAUACUCUACACUAUUUAAUACAUAGAAACACACCCAAAAUAAACCCAAAAAUCGACACUGUCGAUUUUUGGAUUUAUUUUCUAUGUUAGAUUACGGUUUUGACCUUUUGGUUUGAAUUUUUUGAAACAGGCCCAGAACUCGCUCUGCAAUUUUAGAUAAAGAGAAGGAGAAUGAAAAGAACGAAGGUGUUUAGAACUGGAAGAGAACGAAGGUGUUCAGAACGCCGACGUCGGUGGUGAGUGCGAGAAGAAGAUGAAGAUGAUUUCUCUUUCGCCUGCACUAACCCCGACGGAUCGCUGAUUUCCACCGACGACAUAUUCCAAAAUUAUCAGAUCCGUCUGGUGUUCCCGAUUUUCAACCCAGAUCUUCUGUUCGCCGACGACAAUGACGACGACGACGACAACGAUUCUUCCAAAGCCAGAUGUUGCAUACCGUAGAUCUGGAGACUUGUGCAAGAACACGCUGAGAUAAUGAGAAGCAAAAGACCAGGUGAAAAUAUGACAUUGGAUGACACAAAGAAGAUAAAGUAUACCUGGCAGGUUGCUUGUGAAAGCAUGCGGCUCUUCCCUCCUAUCUUUGGCUAAAACUUUGAGAAGAUUCUGCUCCUGGCUAUCAACAAGCUUGUGUUAUUUAUGUUUGGCUUGUGAAUGUUUUAAAUUCAACGAUUUAGUUUGUAUGGCAUAGGCUCUUGACAAGAUUAGAUUUGAGAGUAUGACUGACAAGCGCAAGCUCAAUGAUCAAUUAGAGCUUUCCAUCCCUGACAAAAACAACAAUACCUUGACUAUUAUUAAUAGUGGUAUUGGAAUGACCAAAGUUGAGGGCCUUUGCGAUUGCUUUUGGUGAAACUAUGGACAUUUGGAUGUGAUUUUUGCAAAGGAUAUCAGAUAUUUUGCUGGGCUUUUUUGGGUUUUUUUGACUUUUUUUUGUAUGAAAUAGUAUUAACAAUGUUUUUCUAUGAAAUGAUAUUAACAUUGUACUUCUAUGACAUGAU
Molecule: non-coding RNA, 1004 nt
Organism: Prunus mume (Japanese apricot)
Lineage: Eukaryota; Viridiplantae; Streptophyta; Magnoliopsida; Rosales; Rosaceae
Source: RefSeq, a predicted model, not a curated record